AAGUAAUACAUUUAAUUGUUUAAAUGAGUUUUGCACUGCUCUCGAUCCUCAGCCCUUUGGCUCAGCAGACGGACUCUAUUGAAGAAAACGGUUGUGUAGUAUGUGCUCUAUGUUACAGUGAGUGUCUUUCUAACUUCAUUGACGACAGCAUCCGUCUUUUUACAGUACGCACACUAAUGUGUAUAUUAUCUGUAAUAGUAAGGCAUAAUGCUAUUUCAGUGUCAGACCUUCAUUGAAAAGAAACCUAUGCGGUGAUCUAUUUGCUCCUGCUCCUCUGACAUUGUUACACUGACUGAUGUUUCCUGCAAUGAUUUAUUUUACUACACUAUUGUUUUGUUUAUUAUCCCCUUAUCUCAGCAAAACAAAUUAAAUUAACUCAUUAUCAUGGGAAACAGAGGUAUAAAAUGUAUGAAAGCAUGGCCCAUUAGGGCUUCCGUACUGCUGCUAUGCUGCUCAUACAGCACAGAACCCCCCACCCAUCCCUUACUAACAUGGGACAUUAAGUGAGCUACUGCAAGUGCAACCUUUGAUUUCCAUGAUUUUCAAAAUCCCAAAAAUGGCCCUAAAGAAAAUCUCACCCUUGUGUUUUGCAUUUCUGCCAAUAGCUGCACUUCAUGUGGUCGGAUUCAUUGUUACUGGGCAAAACCACCACAGAUCAACUUCAUCCUGCGUGGAGAGAACCCUUUUCAAUGCUUUAGCUGAACUUUAUUUGUUGUAUAAAGAAUCUUGGAUGCAAAGGCAGCAGAUCUUUGCUCCUGUUUGGACUCUAAAUAAAACAGGAUGAAGGCAGUGACAAGCCAACAGCCACAGUGUCAGCACUCUCAAACAGUGAGUAAGUGUUACAAGGACAAACUAGUUAUUUUGAUCUAAAUCUUUCAACAACACACACUGGACGACUUACUGUAUACAUAUAUAUGUGUGUGUGUGUGUGUGUGUACCAGCUGACUGCAACAUCAGGAAGGAGGAACAUGAGGAAGAGGAAAAGUAUCAAGGGCUCAAAUAACAACUGGGGCAGAUGUGAAAGGUCAAAGGUCCUCGUGGUAGUAAGAGCUAGUAGCUAGUGGGAGCUGGCAGUGACCCCCAAACUGGGAUUACUGGUGGCUCUAACAGAUUCCAGGAACAACAUCUGAAGCCUCAGUCCAGAAGUGUGCAAUAGGAACAGCUCAGCUACUACACUCACUUUUCUUGUAUACCGUAUUUUUCGGACUAUAAGGCGCACCGGACUAUAAGGCGCACCGGUUUGUUAUUAUUAAUUUUAUUAUUAUUAAGACGCAUUAAGCGAAAUAAAAUAGUCAGAUAAGUCA
This 1304-nucleotide long non-coding RNA is filed under the name Gouania willdenowi (blunt-snouted clingfish). Its description in RNAcentral is "lncRNA (ENSGWIG00000013818.1)". Lineage: Eukaryota; Metazoa; Chordata; Actinopteri; Blenniiformes; Gobiesocidae. The record is from RNAcentral.